Molecule: long non-coding RNA, 194 nt
Organism: Juglans microcarpa x Juglans regia
Lineage: Eukaryota; Viridiplantae; Streptophyta; Magnoliopsida; Fagales; Juglandaceae
Exons: 2
Source: RefSeq, a predicted model, not a curated record
CUGGAGGAAAGACCUACCCGGCUUAACAAUUUCACAAAAUCACGGGCAUCUCUGAUUCUCUCUUGGUUUCAUUUCUUUCGGUAUAACAUUAGUUUCAUCUCUAAUUUAAGCGCUUCUGCUCAAUUUCACUUGGAUAGCACUAGGGAUUCUAUCAGACAUCCAAAUUUCAGGUACUUCAUCUCAAUGGAUGAAAA